This 499-nucleotide ribosomal RNA is filed under the name uncultured Glomeromycotina. RNAcentral's name for it is "partial small subunit ribosomal RNA". It matches the Rfam family "Eukaryotic small subunit ribosomal RNA", at positions 591 to 1092 of the family's 1831-position model. Lineage: Eukaryota; Fungi; Glomeromycota. The record is from RNAcentral.
CCAAUAGCGUAUAUUAAAGUUGUUGCAGUUAAAAAGCUCGUAGUUGAAUUUCGGGAUCAAUUUAUUGGUCGUGCUAUUGUACGUACUGGUAUUAUUGAUUUCUACCUUCUGACGAACCAUGAUGUCAUUAAUUUGGUGUCUUGGGGAAUCAGGACUGUUACUUUGAAAAAAUUAGAGUGUUUAAAGCAGGCUCACGCUUGAAUACAUUAGCAUGGAAUAACGAAAUAGGACGUUUGAUUCUAUUUUGUUGGUUUCUUGAAUCGACGUAAUUAUUAAUAGGGAUAGUUGGGGGCAUUAGUAUUCAAUUGUCAGAGGUGAAAUUCUUGGAUUUAUUGAAGACUAACUACUGCGAAAGCAUUUGCCAAGGAUGUUUUCAUUAAUCAAGAACGAAAGUUAGGGGAUCGAAGACGAUCAGAUACCGUCGUAGUCUUAACCAUAAACUAUGCCGACUAGGGAUCGGAUGAUGUUAAUUUUUUAAUGACUCAUUCGGCGCCUUACG